Small nuclear RNA from Pipistrellus kuhlii (Kuhl's pipistrelle), 156 nucleotides. RefSeq annotates it as U1 spliceosomal RNA. The record is from RefSeq and is a predicted model, not a curated record. NCBI's taxonomy places the organism in Eukaryota, Metazoa, Chordata, Mammalia, Chiroptera, Vespertilionidae. The transcript has a single exon.
AUAUUUAGCUGGCAGGGUAGACAAAGUGAUAACAAAGAUGGUUUUCUCAGGAUGAGACUUAUUCAUUGCACUCCAAUGUACUGACCCCUGCCCCUUCCCCAAAUGUGGGGAACCUGACUGCAUAAUUUGUGGUAAUGUGUGUGGGGGCACCGCUUU